UAAUGAAGGAAGCAUGGUAAUGUGCACGGAGAUUGAAUCCUUGAGUCGUCAUGUCUGCUCUCUCUGACGCCCUUCUAGGGUUUAUGAUUAGCGGGCCUGGAUUAGACUCACAUUU
This 115-nucleotide small nucleolar RNA is filed under the name Ipomoea nil (Japanese morning glory). RNAcentral's name for it is "Small nucleolar RNA snoR100". It matches the Rfam family "Small nucleolar RNA snoR100". Lineage: Eukaryota; Viridiplantae; Streptophyta; Magnoliopsida; Solanales; Convolvulaceae. The record is from Rfam by way of RNAcentral.